This 253-nucleotide ribosomal RNA is filed under the name uncultured bacterium. Its description in RNAcentral is "partial 16S ribosomal RNA". It matches the Rfam family "Bacterial small subunit ribosomal RNA", at positions 524 to 776 of the family's 1533-position model. The record is from RNAcentral.
UACGUAGGGAGCAAGCGUUGUUCGGAUUUACUGGGCGUAAAGGGCGCGUAGGCGGCGCGGUAAGUCACUUGUGAAAUCUCUGAGCUUAACUCAGAACGGCCAAGUGAUACUGCAGUGCUAGAGUGCAGAAGGGGCAAUCGGAAUUCUUGGUGUAGCGGUGAAAUGCGUAGAUAUCUGGAGGAACACCGGUGGCGAAGGCGGCAUCCUGGACCGAUACUGACGCUGAGGAGCGAAAGCUAGGGGAGCAAACGGG